GAUGAACGCUGGCGGCGUGCCUAACACAUGCAAGUCGAACGAAAAGACGAUGAGCUUACUCUCCUGACGUUGGCGGCGGACGGGUGAGUAACACGUGGAUAACCUACCACUUUGACUUGGAGAACAACGGGAGACAGGAGAUACUACUAGAUAACAUGAUGAACCGGAUGGAUCAAGAGUUAUUGAGGCUUUUGCUGAUUCUAAGAGCUGAAUCCGCGUUGCAUUAGUUAGUUGGUAAGGUAACGGCCUACCAAGGCAACGAUGCGUAGCCGAGCUGAGAGGAUGAUCGGCCACACUGGAACUGAGACACGGUCCAGACUCCUACGGGAGGCAGCAGUAGGGAAUCUUGGGCAAUGGGCGAAAGCCUGACGGAGCAACGCCGCGUGAGUGAAGAAGGUCUUCGGAUCGUAAAACUCUGUUAUUGGGGAAGAACAAAUGUGUAAGUAUCUAUGCACGUCUUGACGGUACCUAAACAGAAAGCCACGGCUAACUACGUG
Molecule: ribosomal RNA, 497 nt
Filed under: uncultured bacterium
Lineage: Bacteria
Description: partial 16S ribosomal RNA
Rfam family: Bacterial small subunit ribosomal RNA
Source: RNAcentral